UCUGAUGGAGGCAUUUUUCUCACUUGAGGUUCCCUCUUCCCAGAUGACCCUGGUGUCAAUCAAGUUGAUGAAAACCUAGCCAGCACAGGGGAGCAAAGAGGUGGGGGACAGGGAGGAGGAGGGAAGAGAGCAAAGAGGAAGUGAGGAGGAAGGCUCCAGUGUGUGGCCCUAGACCCUAUCUCAAACCAAAGGUGUCUUCCUUGGAGAGCUGUUCACCUGAGAUCAGCUGAGCACCGAGUUCUCCGUUGCCAUGUCCCUUAAGAUGGGGAGUCAGCCUAGGAAUGAACAGAGAAGUGGAACUCAGGAUACAAAGACAGUCACAACCGGAAGACAAGGCAAAACCUAGGCUCCUUUGAAUGCCCUCGGCUCUGCAGUGUCCUGGUCUUCUGGUUUCCAGACUCACAU
Molecule: long non-coding RNA, 405 nt
Organism: Mus musculus (house mouse)
Lineage: Eukaryota; Metazoa; Chordata; Mammalia; Rodentia; Muridae
Product: predicted gene, 36914
Exons: 4
Source: RefSeq, a predicted model, not a curated record